CUGGCCUUGACAUCUGUCGUAUCCUGCAGAGAUGCGGGAGUGCCGCAAGGAACGACAAGACAGGUGCUGCAUGGCUGUCGUCAGCUCGUGUCGUGAGAUGUUGGGUUAAGUCCCGCAACGAGCGCAACCCUUGUCCUUAGUUGCCAGCACGUAAUGGUGGGAACUCUAAGGAGACUGCCGGUGACAAACCGGAGGAAGGUGGGGAUGACGUCAAGUCCUCAUGGCCCUUACGGCCAGGGCUACACACGUACUACAAUGGUCGGUACAGAGGGUCGCGAAGCCGCAAGGUGGAGCCAAUCCCAGAAAACCGAUCCCAGUCCGGAUUGGAGUCUGCAACUCGACUCCAUGAAGUUGGAAUCGCUAGUAAUCGCGAAUCAGCUAUGUCGCGGUGAAUACGUUCCC
Molecule: ribosomal RNA, 402 nt
Filed under: uncultured bacterium
Lineage: Bacteria
Description: bacterial SSU rRNA
Rfam family: Bacterial small subunit ribosomal RNA
Source: RNAcentral